Molecule: ribosomal RNA, 446 nt
Filed under: Streptococcus mitis
Lineage: Bacteria; Bacillati; Bacillota; Bacilli; Lactobacillales; Streptococcaceae
Description: bacterial SSU rRNA
Rfam family: Bacterial small subunit ribosomal RNA
Source: RNAcentral
GACGAACGCUGGCGGCGUGCCUAAUACAUGCAAGUAGAACGCUGAAGGAGGAGCUUGCUUCUCCGGAUGAGUUGCGAACGGGUGAGUAACGCGUAGGUAACCUGCCUGGUAGCGGGGGAUAACUAUUGGAAACGAUAGCUAAUACCGCAUAAUAGCAGUUAUUGCAUGAUAACUGUUUGAAAGGUGCAAUUGCACCACUACCAGAUGGACCUGCGUUGUAUUAGCUAGUUGGUGGGGUAACGGCUCACCAAGGCGACGAUACAUAGCCGACCUGAGAGGGUGAUCGGCCACACUGGGACUGAGACACGGCCCAGACUCCUACGGGAGGCAGCAGUAGGGAAUCUUCGGCAAUGGACGGAAGUCUGACCGAGCAACGCCGCGUGAGUGAAGAAGGUUUUCGGAUCGUAAAGCUCUGUUGUAAGAGAAGAACGAGUGUGAGAGUGAAA